AGCAUCUUUGUCUGUCUGUAGGUCUGUGAGCAAGUCUGUAUGUACGAAAUGGACAACUAUUGAGAAAGUUGAUGAAUUGUGACCCUGUGAGGGUGCUAGAGUAGCCAAGCCCCGAGCCCCCCAGGGAGGACAAGUUACACGGUUGUCAGGCUGGAGAUCCCUGAGAGAGGGGAGGGAUGACAAUGCAUGCCCCUGAGACACAACGGACGCAGAGAGAGAGAGAGCGAUCCCUGUGGGUGUAACAGAGAGAGAGAAGAGAUGGAGAGAGGGAAGAAGAGUAAGGAGGGAAGCUGAGAGAUGGAGGAAGAAGAGAUGGGGAGGAAGGAGGAAGAAGAGUGUGACCACUCCUAUCCAGCCAUCUUAACAGUUUUCUAAGUAAACCUAACAUGGCUUCCACUGUCUCACACUGAAAGGUUAAACUAGCAGAGCUCUGUCUGAACAAGGUGCCACCCAUCUUCCCCAUUAUCCCCUGUGUAUUUAUACCUGUGUUCUCUGUUUGUCUGUUGCCAGUUUGUUUUGUUUUGUCAAGCCUACCAGCGGGUUUCCCUCUGCUCCUGUCUUUCGAUUGUUCCUGUUUCCUAGUUUUCCCGAUGUUGACCACUCUGCCUGCCCUGACCCUGUCUGCCAUCCUGUACCGUUGCCCCACCUUUCUGGAUUUCCGACCUUUGCCAACCCUGGCCCUGCCUGCCGUCCUGUACCCCUAUUUGGAUUACCGACCUCUUCCUGCUCUUAACCUGCCUUUUGCCUGCCCCUGUUCAAUUAAUAAACUGUUGUUACUUUGAUGUUGUCUGCAUCUGGGUCUUACCUGAA
Oncorhynchus keta (chum salmon) is the source of this 810-nucleotide long non-coding RNA. RefSeq lists it as uncharacterized. The record is from RefSeq and is a predicted model, not a curated record. Lineage: Eukaryota; Metazoa; Chordata; Actinopteri; Salmoniformes; Salmonidae. The transcript is spliced from 3 exons.